CAGACGGCGGGGUAACGGCCCACCGUACCGACGAUGCGUAGGGGUUCUGAGAGGAAGGUCCCCCACACUGGUACUGAGACACGGACCAGACUCCUACGGGAGGCAGCAGUGAGGAAUAUUGGUCAAUGGGCGGGAGCCUGAACCAGCCAAGCCGCGUGAGGGAAGAAGGCCCUACGGGUCGUAAACCUCUUUUGCCGGGGAACAAAAGCGGGUAUGUAUACCCGUAUGAGUGUACCCGGAGAAAAAGCAUCGGCUAACUCCGUGCCAGCAGCCGCGGUAAUACGGAGGAUGCGAGCGUUAUCCGGAUUUAUUGGGUUUAAAGGGUG
This 326-nucleotide ribosomal RNA is filed under the name uncultured bacterium. RNAcentral describes it as "bacterial SSU rRNA". It matches the Rfam family "Bacterial small subunit ribosomal RNA", at positions 246 to 569 of the family's 1533-position model. The record is from RNAcentral.